GCCGCACCUCUCUUAUCCUUUUCUUCGUUCCCCACUCUCUCGCCAUUUCUUCAUCGCGCAUGGGACAGAUGAGCGAGAGAGAGAGCCCUUGCGUAGGCGGCGAGGCGGCCGGCGGCGAGCCAAUCGGCAGUUAUGCAGCCCGCGCCGUACCCGAAGCUGUGCGAUGUCAGGAGAGGAGGCGUGCGGCGGCGAGGCGAGGAGCGGGAAGAGGCGUGUGAAGCUGCUGUGAUUCGAAUCCUCGAUGGUGGUCGGCGGAGGCAGCAGUCGGCCAAGAUGCCGGUGCGCGGCGCCGUGUUGACGGUGGAGGAGGGAGCCUCGCGCGCGUGGUGAUUGCUGGUCACAGGGGCCGAGGUGCUAGGGUGGAGAUUCAUGGGCUCGUCGUCCCCGCCGCCGCCGCCGGCCCCGUCCUCACGCUCCAGCUGGAUCGACCGAUGGAGCUCUUCUGCGCCACCACCAGCCCCGCGGGCGCGCAACCCCGCCACAUCUAUGUGGCCGGACCGACGCUGCCUAUGCGACUAUGUCGAGGACGGACUCGUGUGUCAAGGCUGACGAGGAGGAGAACCACGCCGCCGCCCCGUGUUUGGUGCCUACCAAGGGAUCUCCGCCCGCCCCACGUCCUAGCGCGCCUCCGCCCCGCGUGGUCCUGGGCUCCACCAUCGCCUUGUGCAGAUGGGGAUCUGCCACGCGACGGCGCCGUCGGGGCAGGGGUAGCUUGAUUACAAGCUCGACGGUGACGCGCAUAUUUGGUCCUCGAGCUGACUACGGCAACAACGUAGUGAUGAGAUGCUAAUGGACUAGAUUUCCUUGGCAAUUCUAGGAAACUAUAGUUCAUGGACACCCCCAAAAUGUAUAGUUCAUGACAAUCAAAUUAUGUUCUUUUGCCAUUGAAGGUCCAAUUUUACAUUUGUUAAUAUGUCCCCCAUCGAAACUUAGUUGCCAUGCUUGUGUCUUUUCUUCAGG
Molecule: ribosomal RNA, 960 nt
Filed under: Triticum aestivum (bread wheat)
Lineage: Eukaryota; Viridiplantae; Streptophyta; Magnoliopsida; Poales; Poaceae
Description: partial small subunit ribosomal RNA
Source: RNAcentral